CACGUAGGGGGCAAGCGUUGUCCGGAUUUAUUGGGCGUAAAGAGCUCGUAGGCGGUUCGAUAAGUCGGGUGUGAAACCUCCAGGCUCAACCUGGAGACGCCACCCGAUACUGUUGUGACUAGAGUCCGGUAGGGGAGCGUGGAAUUCCUGGUGUAGCGGUGGAAUGCGCAGAUAUCAGGAGGAACACCGAUGGCGAAGGCAGGUCUCUGGGCCAUUACUGACACUGAGAAGCGAAAGCAUGGGGAGCGAACAGG
This 254-nucleotide ribosomal RNA is filed under the name uncultured bacterium. RNAcentral's name for it is "partial 16S ribosomal RNA". It matches the Rfam family "Bacterial small subunit ribosomal RNA", at positions 524 to 776 of the family's 1533-position model. The record is from RNAcentral.